AGUAGUGGCUUAUAUAGCCUACCGACAUAACCGGACUGUUAUUUCCACUGCGGUACGGAUCAUUCAGAGUCGUUGGCCUCUGUUGUGUUUAUGAUAUGCUAUUUUAGUGUCACUAAAAUAUAUUCUGAAAGAGUUGAAAACUAAUUAUUGUUUGAGUGGGUCCUUUACUGUCGUGUGUAGAAUUAAUGCUUUGGUCGAAUAGGAAGUUGAGAAAAUAAUUGAGGGAAGAGGAGAACGAAAAAACGAGAAAAGAAAUUAGCGAAAAUCCCACAAACAAGGCACAUAAUAAAAUAUGCAAACAACUUAACAAUAAUUAUCGGCAUGUGAACGUGAUCCAGAAAUUACUGGGUCAAAAGCACCGUCGUACCGCCUUCUCCGCGUAAGGCCCAUAUAUCACUUUUUAAUGUUUAUGUAUUUAAUUGUGGAAUUAAAGAACCACAUCUUCCUUUAUCUAUGUAU
Arabidopsis thaliana (thale cress) is the source of this 459-nucleotide long non-coding RNA. RefSeq annotates it as other RNA. NCBI's taxonomy places the organism in Eukaryota, Viridiplantae, Streptophyta, Magnoliopsida, Brassicales, Brassicaceae. The record is from RefSeq. The transcript has a single exon.